GACACCUCCUCCCCCUCAUAGAGGAUCUUCGCACCGGGCCGCUCCGCAGACACGUCUCUCCGGUUCCUCUGCCUGGAAACACCGCACACUAAUCAGAACCGGCGGCCGACAGAGACGGACGGGCUCUCGUAGGCUCCGCGGGGUCCAUUAGGUGUGGGUUUUGGACGACUGUGACGAUGGGAGGAGAACAGAGUCAGGAGAAGACAGAGCAGACAGAGGAGGAAAACCAUCAGGAGAGUUCCAGCGCCGACAGUUCAGCGCCUCCGACUCCUGAAGACCCCCCAGGAGAGCUGCCCCAGUGCCUCAUGGGAAACAGGAAGGUGGACAAUAUGUGCUUCAUGAUCGCAUGCACCAACUGGUAUUAACAACACUCUGCUAGUCAGAGAUGGACAGAAGGAAAUGGAAGAGGAGGAGGAGGAGGAGGAGGAGGAGUGGAGUCUGAGACGUCUGUUCAGUCUGAGGAGAACGACGCUUCACUGCCGCACUUAGAAGAAGCAGAAGCAGAAGCAGAAGCAGGGUGUUUGUCCGUUAAAUGCUGCUUGGGGCUAAUUGGGUCCAGUUGUUGCUAUGCUGUUCACAAUAUACACCUUUUGUUUUUCUUUUUUAGUUAAUUGUUUUUGUAAGUAAAUAAAUAAAUAAAAUUCCACUAUUUUCUAGGGCCCCUGUCAGUCAUAGGUCUGUAGUAUCAUUACUUUUCUCACCCUUACACUGGAAAAAAAUCAAAAUCUGACCAAAAUAAUUUUCACCAGUUCCACUGGCAGAUUUUUUUUUUUUUUUUUUUGCAGGAAUUAAGCAAAAAGAUCUUG
Sphaeramia orbicularis (orbiculate cardinalfish) is the source of this 806-nucleotide long non-coding RNA. RefSeq lists it as uncharacterized. Lineage: Eukaryota; Metazoa; Chordata; Actinopteri; Kurtiformes; Apogonidae. The record is from RefSeq and is a predicted model, not a curated record. The transcript has 3 exons.